AAUUAUAGGCUUUCAUCAAUUUGUAGACAUUCAAAACUAGUUAAUGAUUUUGUUGUUUUAUUUGUAUCCGGUUGGACUAAAAUAUAUUUAAAUAGGUUAAAAGAUGAGCAUUUGUGUGCAGUCGACUGUCGUGUUUUUUCCCGAAUAGUUAUUGAAAAAUUUGAAAAUGGGUGGAAUUUUGGGAAUUAUUUUGCUAAUCAGUGGUGUCACCUCCGUAUGCAGCAUACCCAUCGAAGUCCGAGGAGGAAUAGGAUUACAGGGUCAAAGGACUUGUCCCCCUGUCGAUCCCACCCUUCUUUUGACGGGGGGACCGUGCAUAUUUUUGCCAGGUGUCCACUGUCGACAUGACUUGGAAUGCGGGAGCGGUUAUUUGAGCUGCUGUCCAACCGCGUGUUACUCAAAAUGCGUAACAUCCUAUUAAAAAUUCGAGGAGAAUUUUAGCAACAUCUAUCAUGCUGAGGACAAUGGCUUAAGUGAGAGUUUAUUAUUACUUCUGAAAGUACAAAAUGCGUCAUCUGUAAAUUAUCUAAGAGGAUUUAUGAAAAUAGAAAAGUGAUCUAGCACACACAAACUAGCUUUAUCUGUAUAUUGGUCUUGGUACAAUAAAAUUUGCAAUAAAUAAUAGUUUCUGGAAAGUUAGAAACCAGAAUGAAAAUUAGAAAUAAGUACGUAUGUACUUAUACACAUGUAUCUACAUAUUUAUCUAGGAGUCUACAGGUCGUACGACAUGUUCAAAAUGAAUGGUACGAUGUUGCAGGCCCCGUUCUAGGCAAUGUGGCGCCCUAGGCAAAACUUUAGUGGCGCCCCCAUGGCCAUAUGUGCUGGCACAGUCAGAUCAAACACUUUUACUAUUGCACAGUAAAAAUCUCUGUGGAUGGAAAAUUUCCCGCUCCGUGAGCUCAAAGCAAUCCCUAAGGGGCCAAAGUUCGUAUUUUACCGUCCAACAGAGAUUCUUGCUCGGAAAUACGCCAAAAAAUAUAAUCGUACACAAAUUUGAAUUUAGCGUUCGAUUGCACAAUCAGCAAUUUUUAAAUAAAUUUGAUAACAUAUAUUUCAUCCCUAACAAAAAUAAAUGAAUAUUCGCCAUAGCACAGAAACCUCAUAAAAAUUUCUCACUUGCUUAUUAAAAAUUAAAAUCAAACCAACAAGGGAGAGCUGUAAGGUUGUUAUCCCAGGUUUGGACCGAACAAAUUUAAAAAUAUGCAUGCUCAGAAAUAAGCGGAGCGCACAUAAAGUGCAUAAGUUUCGUUUUCUAUUUGGAAUGCACGUGUUUAAGAAUGUAAUGUGGCGUAAUUAUUUAACAAAUUGUGAGCCAAAAUGUGGAUUUUCCUGAUUUGAAGCCUAUUCCAAACAUUAAGCUCACUUUUUGCUCAUUACUCCCAUGAAAUUAUAAAAAUACAUUUUUAAAUACUUUUGAACUUUUCAUGCUACGAAAAUUUCUUAAUCAUUAAGGGUGCAAAAAUGUUAUUUUUUAGAAUUAAACUUAAGUGU
Folsomia candida is the source of this 1491-nucleotide long non-coding RNA. RefSeq lists it as uncharacterized. The record is from RefSeq and is a predicted model, not a curated record. The transcript has 3 exons. NCBI's taxonomy places the organism in Eukaryota, Metazoa, Arthropoda, Collembola, Entomobryomorpha, Isotomidae.